CAUGGAAGGAUGUAAACGAAGUAUUGCUCCAGCCUCCCACAACUGUGCCCAGGCCAAUACUGUUGCUGUGUCUCAAUCUUCUACGAGUAACUGAUGUUAUAUACAAGAACGACGAUGGUUAUACUAAUGGUGGAGUUGUGCUUAAGGAUUAUAUAACUUCUCUGCUUGUCGAACGUGCUCCAAUGUAGGUUAUCAUCAAUCAACAUUCGACAUGUUAUCUUCCACGCGUUAUGACAAAUAAAGACUCGGUCUAAACCCUAAGGCUGGGUUAUUACAAAUAAAAGAUUUUAUGCUCUUUAUGGAUUAUUGUAUUUCUGCACGGGGCUUUGGUUCAUGUCCUCCCCGUUGUUUUCUCAGUCAUAAACCUCUUCUACAGUAAUAUAUUUUGCCGGUGUCAAGGUAUUAAUUUAUUUUGUUUGUGAACUUUACUUUCUUAAGAACUUGUACGUUAUGCCAAUAAAAGAUUAAAAGUAUAGAUUGAUGACAUGCAUACUUGGCCUAGUUUAGGGCAGCUCUGAGGAACUACUACCUAUCUGUGUUUGAUGAUCAGAUUCGAUGAAGCAACUUUCUCAUUGUUUGUCGAACAGUUGUUUGAGAUUCUGCUCCCGUUUGCCAAGUGAAAUCAGUGGCCGGCCAUUAUUAUUCAAAUCUUGCUUAACUAAAAUGGCAUGCAUGACAUCAUUUGAAAGCCGUAUUUUUGAAACCAAUCAUGUACGCGGUAAACUGGUAACUAAAAUUUAUCAAGGGCUCAUGGACUAAAAUUACUACUUAUUUUUUUAUUAAUUUAUGGUAAUUGUAUGCAUGUCAUACAUUAACACGUUGUAGAAUUUUUAAACAUUUUGUAUAAAGUUGUAAAUUCAUCGUAUUACUUACACACCGAGUAUCAAAGAUAUUUUAAAACAAACAAAUUGAUGACAUAUUAAUUUUCUUUGACGAAUACACUAUAUUGGUAAAAUGAUUGACAAAUACAUUAGGAUAACGUGGAUUGCAAUACUUGAGCAAACAUGAGAUGUUUGAGUUUAGGGUUUCUCUUAUAGCAUGGUACGUAGCUAUAUAUAUAAAGGCGUACCUACAUACAGGUUACGGUAGGCCAGAUUUUGAGAAAACAUUGUUUUGUUGCAUAUUUAUAAUUAAAAAAAAUUUGAAUUAUGAAAACUAGCCCACCCCAAAUUUCUUUAUGUAAUUGAACUUAGUCCAUAUGAUUUUUUUUUAUCUGAUUACAUAUAUAUUGUUUAUUUUAUUAAAAGCAGUUGCUCGUUUAGUAUAUUUUAUGUCAACUUUCUUCUCUUUAUUUCUUUUUCUUUGUCGUUGUAUACGUCUCCAUUCUCUUCUGCCGAAGCAGCUAAGCCAAGUGUUAAGUUUUUUCUCUUUAAUCUGCAGGUAUGAUUCUUAGUUAUAUUGGUUAUCCUCUUGGAGGGUCUUGUACGUGUCAUAUGACCUAGUUCUCAAAUCUCAACUGAUUAAUGUCUUGAUCAAAUUUAGUCCCAAUAUCUCAUCAUCUCAAAUCUCAAUUGAUUAAUGCUUUGAUAGUCUCAAUAUCCCAUCAUCCCAUCGCACUGUAUUUCUAUUGAUAUUCUAAUUCUAAUCUCAAUUGCUUGCUUACUAAUUCUAAGCCACGUGCCAAGCUUUCUCUCUUUAAUCUAUAAGUAUGAUUCUUAGUUAUAUCGGUCAUCCUCUUGGAGUCUUGUAUGUGUCAUAUGACCUAGUUCUCAAAUGUCAAUUGAUUAAUGCCUUGAUCAAAUUUAGUCCCAAUAUCUUAUCAUCUUAAAUCUCAAUUGAUUAAUGCCUUAAUAGUCUCAAUAUCCCGUCAUCCCGUCACACUGUAUUUGUAUUGAUAUUCUAAUUCUAAUCUUAAUUGCUUGCUUACUUUAUUAUAGAUGACUAAUGCUAAUGAUAUGUGUGUGUGUGUGUGUGUGUGUGUGUGUGUGUGUAUAGUUGUAAUAAUACCAACGUUUGAUUCAUAGUUAUGAGAUUGUGUUUUUCCGUCCUGUUAGGUUUAAAGAUUAUACACUCGUUUACUGUAUUGUUAGAGCGGUGAUUGUGUGCUUAAUUAUUAGAUUUUACUUCUAUUCAAGAGCGUAUGGUUCAAUUUGAGUAUGUAUGUUCUUUUAUCUUUAGCUUUUGUUAUUUAAUUUCUAUAAAAUGUUAUAAUAUUGAUUGCUUAAUGAUCAGUUAACUACGUGAUUAUUUGAUAUAUUUUUAAUCUAAAAUGUGAUAUGUAAAAUAUAGAAGAAAAAAAAUUAAAAAACUUUAUUUAAAAAAAAAUUUCAGCCCACCCUAACCUAAAAUCCUAGGUCCGUCAUUGCAUAUACAGAGUGCAACAAUGAGACUAGUUCAUUAGUCUGAUAUUGACUGAGAAUACUGAUCUUCUUCUCUCUCUUUAUACAUUUCCUAUCGUGACACCAAAAUGAAAUGGAUGAGCUCAUGCGCAAGAAAAUGAUCGGAGUAGUUAUCGGAAUCAAAACCAAUUUGCAUGAAUUCAUGCCUCGCUCUUACAUGGGUGAAGUUGAAUUAAUAAUCCGGGAUUAUCAAACACCAGACGCCACUACGUACUCGAGAAGGUAUGAAAAUUAUACAUGGAAAUUAAGUUUGAAAUAACAGAUGAAGCAAAACGGAAAACGGUGGAAAUGGUUGGACUUCGUUGCUUUCAUACCUUGACUUCUCGACUGAUGAUGACACCAUGGAUGAUUAUUGUAUCGAGUCGAUAUUGUCAUUUGCUCAUCAGGCGCUCUCAGCCGUAGCUAGCUCCACAAUGCAACUUAUUUCUUGUACGUAUCUACGUACGUACGGCUUGUCCUCACACAACAGUCGCUUUGUUAUCAGUGUAUCACUAUAAAUAUCGAGGCACCGUGGUAGUUUAACUCACACCAGCAAGCUAGCUCUCCCGGCCUUAGUUGUUUAACUACAUCAGAGUCUCAGCUUUCAUUUUUCGAGUGCUUCGAUUCCCCUAGCUAUAAUGGAUCCUCUGUUGGUUUCAGCAUCUCAAGCUCAAACCCAAAAUGGCAGUAGCACUGCAGAUGUUGAACGACGUUCAGCAAAUUUUUCUCCCAGCGUUUGGGGGGAAUAUUUUCUGGCAUAUGCAUCUGUGGUAGGUUAUUUUUGAAGUAAUUAGCAGCAUCAUAUGAAUGUCAUAUUUAUCUUAUUACCCCCUUCAAAAUUUUCAUCUACUGUAGGAAACUGCUGAUAUUCAAGCCGACAAACGUGUCAAAGAACUGAAGGAAGAAGUGAAGAGGGUGCUACUUAGUUCUCCGCCUUCACAGAGAUUAGACUUGAUUGAUUACAUUCAGCGCUUGGGGUUGUCACACCAUUUUGAGGAUGAGAUUCACCAAUUUUUGCAGCAAAUUCACAACCAAUACUCAUCUGCUUCUUCAGAUGAUGAUGACCUUCACACUGUUGCUCUACGUUUUCGGCUGCUUAGGCAAGAAGGAUUUAAUAAGGUUUCAUGCGGUGAGAAUCAUUCUUUUUUUCCAACUUUUCUAUAUAUUUAACAAUGGAUUAUUUCCUCUUAUUUCUUCUCUUGGUUGAUGAUCAUUAAGCAGACAUGUUCAACAAGUUCAUCGAUGUUGAUGGGAAUCUUAAGGAAUCAUGCGUCGCUGACGUACCAGGACUGCUAAGUUUGUAUGAAACAGCACAUCUAAGGAAACAUGGAGAAGAUUUCCUAGAUCGAGCAGUGUCCUUCACUACCACUCAUCUUGAGUCUGCAGUAGCAGCACCCGGCCGUUUAAGCCCCCCACUUUCAAAUCAAGUAGCUCAUGCCUUGUAUCAACCACUCUGGAAAGGAAACCCGAGGAUAGAAGCUAGGCAUUACCUCUCUAGCUACCAGGAACUCAACAGUGGUCCACAUUUUAGCCAAAGUCUCUUGACUUUUGCAAAGUUGGAUUUUAAUUUUUUCCAGCGUAUCCAUCAGAAAGAACUAAGUGAAAUCACAAGGUCAAUGAUCAGCUCCCCUUACUCGAUCAAUAUUUACAUACCGAAAAUUAGUGCUAACACAAUUAUACGGAUAUCUAUGCAUGUACUUAUAAAUUGGUAGGUAUUUUCAGGUGGUGGAAGGAGUUGGACUUUGUAAACAAACUACCGUUUGCAAGGGAUCGAAUAGUAGAGUGUUACUUUUGGUCUUUGGGAGUCUGCUUUGAGCCCAAGUAUCGUCUUCCGAGGGAAACAUUAUGCAAAAUUCUUGGCUUACUUACCAUGAUUGAUGACACUUUCGAUACGUAUGGCAAACUUGAUGAACUAGAGCUCUUUACUGAAGCUAUUCAGAGGUAUAAAACCAAUCCUAGUAGCUGCAUGACCAUUUCUUUUGUUUUUCAGUUAUAUAUUAACCUCUUUUAUUUCAUAAGAAUAUUGCGACAUGCUUGGUUGACACGCAUCUAUAUAUGUUGUUUUUGAUUAUCAAUCAGGUGGGAUCUCUCUGCCAUGGAUUCACUGCCUGACUAUAUGAAAAUUAUCUAUGAGGCAGUGCUGAAUGCCUACACUGAGAUUGAAGCCGAGCUUGCCAAGGAGGGAAACUCGUAUCGCAUUGCCUAUUUAGUAGAAGGAGUAAGUCUCAUUAUCUCUCAAGAGAGCUGACUGAUAAUUUUUUAUGGUUCAAUUUCAACACAUUCGGUUUUCAUCUGCCUCUAUAUACUUCAGUACGUAGAGCAAUGACAGAAUGAUUAUGUAUUUUUUUUCUCUGAUGAUCAGACGCAAUGUCUAGUUAGAGCUUACAUGAAGGAAGCCAAAUGGUACCACCUAAAGUGCACACCGAAAACCUAUGAUGAAUACAUGAGGGUGGGACUUAUUACAUCCGGCAUGUUUUUGGUAGAAGCAGCAGUCAUUGUUCCAUUAGCCGGUGAAAUUUCGACAAGAGAUUCCUUGGAAUCGUUGUUCAGAGACCCUAACAACAAAAUUGUAUAUGCUUCAAACAUACUUGGGAGACUUCUGAAUGACAUCCGAAGCCACAAGGUACAAAUACAGCAUAUAUAGUACUGAAUAGGAGUAAUAAACCUUGACCAACUUUGUUAUGGAAGUUUGUAAUUUGUUUCUGAGUAUUACACAUAUGUGCAGCAUGCGCAAAAGAGAGGAAAUGAUUUUUCAGCUAUACAAUGCUACAUGAAAGAACACUAUGUUACAGAAGAAGAAGCGCUGAUCGAACUGAAUAAACAAGUGAAUGACGCAUGGAAGGAUGUAAACGAAGUAUUGCUCCAGCCUCCCACGACUGUGCCCAGGCCAAUACUGUUGCUGUGUCUCAAUCUUCUACGAGUAACUGAUGUUAUAUACAAGAACGACGAUGGUUAUACUAAUGGUGGAGUUGUGCUUAAGGAUUAUAUAACUUCUCUGCUUGUCGAACCUGCUCCAAUGUAGGUUAUCAUCAAUCAACAUUCGACAUGUUAUCUUCCACGCGUUAUGACAAAUAAAGACUCGGUCUAAACCCUAAGGCUGGGUUAUUACAAAUAAAAGAUUUUAUGUUCUUUAUGGAUUAUUGUAUUUCUGCACGGGGCUUUGGUUCAUGUCCUCCCCGUUGUUUUCUCAGUCAUAAACCUCUUCUACGUACAGUAAUAUAUUUUGCCGGUGUCAAGGCUAUUAAUUUAUUUUGUUUGUGAACUUUACUUUCUUAAGAACUUGUUAUGCCAAUACAAUAUUAAAAGUAUAGAUUGAUGACAUGCAUACUUGGCCUAGUUUAGGGCAGCUCUGAGGAACUACUACCUAUCUGUGCUUG
Molecule: long non-coding RNA, 5695 nt
Filed under: Fragaria vesca (wild strawberry)
Lineage: Eukaryota; Viridiplantae; Streptophyta; Magnoliopsida; Rosales; Rosaceae
Description: long non-coding RNA (FVES_LNC002242)
Source: RNAcentral